This 69-nucleotide transfer RNA is filed under the name Conocara macropterum (longfin smooth-head). RNAcentral describes it as "tRNA-Trp". It matches the Rfam family "tRNA". From Rfam's summary of the family: Transfer RNA (tRNA) molecules are approximately 80 nucleotides in length. Their secondary structure includes four short double-helical elements and three loops (D, anti-codon, and T loops). RNAcentral also lists the same sequence under 1 other name. Lineage: Eukaryota; Metazoa; Chordata; Actinopteri; Alepocephaliformes; Alepocephalidae. The record is from RNAcentral.
AGAGGCUUAGGAUAACAAGACCAAGGACCUUCAAAGCCCUAAGCAGGAGUGAAAAUCUCCUAGCCCCUG